RNAcentral lists this ribosomal RNA (158 nucleotides) under Lacticaseibacillus rhamnosus. Its description in RNAcentral is "Lactobacillus rhamnosus partial 16S ribosomal RNA". The record is from RNAcentral. Lineage: Bacteria; Bacillati; Bacillota; Bacilli; Lactobacillales; Lactobacillaceae.
AACCCCUUAAGGGCAGGUUACCCACGUGUUACUCACCCGUCCGCCACUCGUUCAAAAUUAAAUCAAGGUGCAAGCACCUUUCAAUAAUCAGAACUCGUUCGACUUGCAUGUAUUAGGCACGCCGCCAGCGUUCAUCCUGAGCCAUGAUCAAACUCUGA